GACAGAGGGUGCAAACGUUGUUCGGAAUUACUGGGCGUAAAGCGUGUGUAGGCUGCCCUGCAAGUCGGAUGUGAAAGCCCUGGGCUCAACCUAGGAAGUGCACUCGAAACUGCAGGGCUGGAGUCCUGGAGAGGAAGGCGGAAUUCUCGGUGUAGAGGUGAAAUUCGUAGAUAUCGAGAGGAACACCGGUGGCGAAGGCGGCCUUCUGGACAGUGACUGACGCUGAGACGCGAAAGCGUGGGGAGCAAACAGG
This 253-nucleotide ribosomal RNA is filed under the name uncultured bacterium. RNAcentral's name for it is "partial 16S ribosomal RNA". It matches the Rfam family "Bacterial small subunit ribosomal RNA", at positions 524 to 776 of the family's 1533-position model. The record is from RNAcentral.